AGUGAACGCUGGCGGUAGGCCUAACACAUGCAAGUCGAACGGCAGCACAGUAAGAGCUUGCUCUUACGGGUGGCGAGUGGCGGACGGGUGAGGAAUACAUCGGAAUCUACUUUUUCGUGGGGGAUAACGUAGGGAAUCUUACGCUAAUACCGCAUACGACCUACGGGUGAAAGCAGGGGGUCUUCGGACCUUGCGCGAUUGAAUGAGCCGAUGUCGGAUUAGCUAGUUGGCGGGGUAAAGGCCCACCAAGGCGACGAUCCGUAGCUGGUCUGAGAGGAUGAUCAGCCACACUGGAACUGAGACACGGUCCAGACUCCUACGGGAGGCAGCAGUGGGGAAUAUUGGACAAUGGGCGCAAGCCUGAUCCAGCCAUACCGCGUGGGUGAAGAAGGCCUUCGGGUUGUAAAGCCCUUUUGUUGGGAAAGAAAAGCAGCAGGUUAAUACCCCGCUGUUCUGACGGUACCCAAAGAAUAAGCACCGGCUAACUUCGUG
Molecule: ribosomal RNA, 492 nt
Filed under: uncultured bacterium
Lineage: Bacteria
Description: partial 16S ribosomal RNA
Rfam family: Bacterial small subunit ribosomal RNA
Source: RNAcentral